AUUGAACGCUGGCGGAAUGCUUUACACAUGCAAGUCGAACGGCAGCACGGGGGCAACCCUGGUGGCGAGUGGCGAACGGGUGAGUAAUACAUCGGAACGUGCCCGGUCGUGGGGGAUAACGUAGCGAAAGUUACGCUAAUACCGCACACGAUCUGAGGAUGAAAGCGGGGGACCUUCGGGCCUCGCGCGAUCGGAGCGGCCGAUGUCAGAUUAGGUAGUUGGUGGGGUAAAGGCCUACCAAGCCGACGAUCUGUAGCUGGUCUGAGAGGACGACCAGCCACACUGGAACUGAGACAGGGCCCAGACGCCUACGGGAGGCAGCAGUGGGGAAUUUUGGACAAUGGGCGCAAGCCUGAUCCAGCCAUUCCGCGUGCAGGACGAAGGCCUUCGGGUUGUAAACUGCUUUUGUAUGGAACGAAAAGGCUCUGGCUAAUACCUGGGGCUCAUGACGGUACCGUAAGAAUAAGCACCGGCUAACUACGUG
RNAcentral lists this ribosomal RNA (484 nucleotides) under uncultured bacterium. Its description in RNAcentral is "partial 16S ribosomal RNA". It matches the Rfam family "Bacterial small subunit ribosomal RNA", at positions 29 to 507 of the family's 1533-position model. The record is from RNAcentral.